UAACACGUGAGUAACCUGCCCCUGACUCUGGGAUAAGCCCGGGAAACUGGGUCUAAUACUGGAUAUGACCUUUAACCGCAUGGUUUUUGGUGGAAAGAUUUAUCGGUUGGGGAUGGACUCGCGGCCUAUCAGCUUGUUGGUGAGGUAAUGGCUCACCAAGGCGACGACGGGUAGCCGGCCUGAGAGGGUGACCGGCCACACUGGGACUGAGACACGGCCCAGACUCCUACGGGAGGCAGCAGUGGGGAAUAUUGCACAAUGGGCGAAAGCCUGAUGCAGCGACGCCGCGUGAGGGAUGACGGCCUUCGGGUUGUAAACCUCUUUCAGUAGGGAAGAAGCGAAAGUGACGGUACCUGCAGAAGAAGCGCCGGCUAACUACGUGCCAGCAGCCGCGGUAAUACGUAGGGCGCAAGCGUUAUCCGGAUUUAUUGGGCGUAAAGAGCUCGUAGGCGGUUUGUCGCGUCUGCCGUGAAAGUCCGAGGCUCAACCUCGGAUCUGCGGUGGGUACGGGCAGACUAGAGUGAUGUAGGGGAGACUGGAAUUCCUGGUGUAGCGGUGAAAUGCGC
RNAcentral lists this ribosomal RNA (566 nucleotides) under Arthrobacter sp. PDD-5b-11. RNAcentral's name for it is "bacterial SSU rRNA". It matches the Rfam family "Bacterial small subunit ribosomal RNA", at positions 111 to 691 of the family's 1533-position model. Lineage: Bacteria; Bacillati; Actinomycetota; Actinomycetes; Micrococcales; Micrococcaceae. The record is from RNAcentral.